Molecule: ribosomal RNA, 373 nt
Filed under: uncultured bacterium
Lineage: Bacteria
Description: bacterial SSU rRNA
Rfam family: Bacterial small subunit ribosomal RNA
Source: RNAcentral
AUACGAAGGUGGCAAGCGUUGUUCGGAUUCACUGGGCGUACAGGGAGCGUAGGCGGUUAGGUAAGCCCUCCGUGAAAUCUCCGGGCCUAACCCGGAAAGUGCAGAGGGGACUGCUUGGCUAGAGGAUGGGAGAGGAGCGCGGAAUUCCCGGUGUAGCGGUGAAAUGCGUAGAGAUCGGGAGGAAGGCCGGUGGCGAAGGCGGCGCUCUGGAACAUUUCUGACGCUGAGGCUCGAAAGCGUGGGGAGCAAACAGGAUUAGAUACCCUGGUAGUCCACGCCUUAAACUAUGGAUACUAAGUGUCGGCGGGUUACCGCCGGUGCCGCAGCUAACGCAGUAAGUAUCCCGCCUGGGAAGUACGGCCGCAAGGUUGAA